GAUGAACGCUGGCGGCGUGCCUAAUACAUGCAAGUCGAGCGAACGGACUAGAAGCUUGCUCCUCUGAUGUUAGCGGCGGACGGGUGAGUAACACGUGGAUAACCUACCUAUAAGACUGGGAUAACUUCGGGAAACCGUAGCUAAUACCGGAUAAUAUUUUGAACCGCAUGGUUCAAAAGUGAAAGACGGUCUUGCUGUCACUUAUAGAUGGAUCCGCGCUGCAUUAGCUAGUUGGUAAGGUAACGGCUUACCAAGGCAACGAUGCAUAGCCGACCUGAGAGGGUGAUCGGCCACACUGGAACUGAGACACGGUCCAGACUCCUACGGGAGGCAGCAGUAGGGAAUCUUCCGCAAUGGGCGAAAGCCUGACGGAGCAACGCCGCGUGAGUGAUGAAGGUCUUCGGAUCGUAAAACUCUGUUAUUAGGGAAGAACAAAUGUGUAAGUAACUGUGCACAUCUUGACGGUACCUAAUCAGAAAGCCACGGCUAACUACGUG
This 497-nucleotide ribosomal RNA is filed under the name uncultured bacterium. RNAcentral's name for it is "partial 16S ribosomal RNA". It matches the Rfam family "Bacterial small subunit ribosomal RNA", at positions 28 to 507 of the family's 1533-position model. The record is from RNAcentral.